RNAcentral lists this long non-coding RNA (252 nucleotides) under Elaeis guineensis (African oil palm). RNAcentral's name for it is "long non-coding RNA (EGUI_LNC035239)". Lineage: Eukaryota; Viridiplantae; Streptophyta; Magnoliopsida; Arecales; Arecaceae. The record is from RNAcentral.
AUUUCUCAUCUUUACGCGAGAGGUGGCGUGUGCCCGUAGGUAGUGUGUGCACUUCUCGCGAUCGCAGAUUGAGAAUCUUAUAAGUUAGGCCACUAGAGGUUCCUUAGGAUCAUCCUGUGCUUCUCCCAUGACUUGGCUUCUCCCAUGACUUGGGCUCUGAUGGGGUUUUGUAAGUUAGCCCAACCUUCAAGUCACCAAGGACUGAUCGUCGAUCACCAAGGGUCCUUAUGGUUAGCCCUCAUCUUUUAGAUA